GAUGAACGCUGGCGGCGUGCCUAAUACAUGCAAGUAGAACGCUGAAGGAGGAGCUUGCUCUUCUGGAUGAGUUGCGAACGGGUGAGUAACGCGUAGGUAACCUGCCUGGUAGCGGGGGAUAACUAUUGGAAACGAUAGCUAAUACCGCAUGACAACAGUUAUUGCAUGAUAACUGUUUAAAAGGGGCAACUGCUCCACUACCAGAUGGACCUGCGUUGUAUUAGCUAGUUGGUGAGGUAACGGCUCACCAAGGCGACGAUACAUAGCCGACCUGAGAGGGUGAUCGGCCACACUGGGACUGAGACACGGCCCAGACUCCUACGGGAGGCAGCAGUAGGGAAUCUUCGGCAAUGGACGGAAGUCUGACCGAGCAACGCCGCGGGAGUGAAGAAGGUUGUCGGAUCGUAAAGCUCUGUUGUAAGAGAAGAACGAGUGUGAGAGUGGAAAGUUCACACUGUGACGGUAUCUUACCAGAAAGGGACGGCUAACUACGUG
RNAcentral lists this ribosomal RNA (495 nucleotides) under uncultured bacterium. RNAcentral's name for it is "partial 16S ribosomal RNA". It matches the Rfam family "Bacterial small subunit ribosomal RNA", at positions 28 to 507 of the family's 1533-position model. The record is from RNAcentral.